Molecule: long non-coding RNA, 1536 nt
Organism: Junco hyemalis (dark-eyed junco)
Lineage: Eukaryota; Metazoa; Chordata; Aves; Passeriformes; Passerellidae
Source: Ensembl
CAGGCUUCAAAACCUUUUCUUUGCAGGGCUUGGCAGACUGAGGAGUCCGGCUUGGCUGUCCUGUGCCCUGCAGCUGCUCCUGAGCCCCUUGGAAAAUGCUGCUCUCCCGGUCACCAGAGGGACUGCCAGCCCCUGCUGUGUCCUGUCGAAGCCACCGCGCCCUGCUGGGUGUGCUGGUGCUGCUCUGCUGACGGCUCCUGCAGGAGGGACCAGCAGCCAGGUCACCACUCCUUCCAGGACGCUUUGUCCAGCGCAGUGGUGACGGAGGUUUGAAGGGAUGGGGCAGGACGUGUGAAGCACCUGGAGUUACCACAUGGAGGAAGCUUUGCAAGAACACAUGUAAAUCCUCCCAGGAUGUGCAUUUUUAUCCCCCACCAUCCACAGCUGGUGUCCCACUGCUGCUGGUGAGCUGCCAGCACUGGCCUGGUCCUGCUCUCACCCCAAGCUCCACAGCCCAGCCGGAGCCAGCCUGCUCCAGCAUCCUCACCCCAACAGGCUGCUCCUGCUGGCCGUGUCCAGCCUCGUGCUGGGAGCCUCAGCAAUCAGAUCGUUUAAUAACCAUCUCACUUCAGGCUGGUUUGUGUAAAGCAUUUUACCUGGCUUUAUUUCUCGCAUUGCUUUGUAUUCCUUCAAACUCCAAACCCGCAAAUCGAUGCGGUGCCGCUAUUUUUGCCUCUAAAAUGUUUACUCCUGGCUCUCUUUAGGACCUAAAAGGCUGAAAACUGCAUCAUAAUUGUCUAAUUAGUCCUAAUGCUGCGUAGUGUUGACUGUUUAGUUACCAUAUAUUGUGUACAGAACUAAUUGUGGUGAAAGUAAAUGAAUGUGAAGGAAACAAACAAGCUACUAGAAAAUAAUUACUUGGAGUGUUUCUUUUUAGUACCUGUACAGCAGAUUUCAUUAUAGUCAACAGCUUCUAAAGCUGCUUGAAAUAGCGGUAUUUGUCAUUUUCAUAGAAACUUGAUAAUGACAUUAAUUUAUCUUAAUGGUCUGUUCUAUUGUUAUAAAUAGUAAAAUUAGCUUAAAUUGUCUUGCUUUUGCUGCUUUUGGAUGGCUCCAAAGGGCCCCACAACAGCAGAUGAGUAGAUAAUUUGGUGUGCUUGACAGAUUUCCAAUAAUUUGUUAUGUGGAACAUGAGGUAAUGCUAGUACCAUUAAUGUUCAUUUUCCUCUAAAUUCAUUACUGCCCUUUUCCCUUUUAUCUUUUUUAAUGUCUGGGCCAUUUUUCUAUAUUUCAAGUGGAGCUACAAAGCCUAUUCAUAUUCAGCUAUAGUAGCUAUUAACAUUCUGCACAUAGAGAACAUCAUGUAGGAAAACAACUCUUUAUGAAAUGAUGAGGCUGGUGGCUAUUUAUGCUGAAAAGUAGGCAAAAUGGGUUGUUUGCUGGUAUUAGGGAUUGGCUGUAAUUAAGUCAAAUGUAAUUUUAAAGAAAUUUAAAUGUUUUCAUUUUUAUAGCCAAGGUAAAACACAAUUCAGGGAAAUUCUAAGAUGGUGUAAAUGCAUUAAUAAAAACUAUUUUCCCUGUUUUCUACUCCUCCUG